AGGCGGCACUGUCGCUGUACCGUGAAGCUGAUCCGCCGAGGGAGCAAUCAACCAUCAGUGGAGGAGGUAUACGUUCCGGUUUCCCCGCAAUUUAGCUACUUCGUCCCCUGACGCCCUCCCGUCACCCUCUUUACUGCGGCAGCAGCAGCAGCAAUGGCUCUUGGCUAGGUUAAUUGAUUCUGGUUGUUCAUCCUUUUUGUGGUCUAUUGAUUCGGGCAUUUGUGUUUGUUCCGAUUGCUUAGGAAUAAUGUAAUCUGAUUUUUUUAGGGGACGUAAUCUGAUGAGAUGAUAAUGCAGCUUCCGAAUCAAUUGUAGCCUGCUUCAGUGGCCACGUUGGGGGAUCGAUCCCAUUGUUCCAUUCUCAGCAGAAGAUAAUUGAUAUCUGUUUCUGGUGAGAAAUUUCUCCUGUGUGAUGCAAGUUCACCCAUUUCUGUACCUGGACGGCUGGGUGAUUUUGUGACUCAUUGCUCCAGAUGAUCUUUUCAUGUAGGUUUUGAGGACUCAAAGGUCAUCGACCCUCAUUGACACAUAUGAACCGACCUACCGACCUGUUGCUAACUCUACUUGAUCAUGCAUGCCCCUGUAUCACAGGAUUUAUUCAUAUCUAUCCACAUAAGUAAAUGUUAUUAAUUUGUGAGCAGUUCCACUUCUACGUACAGUUCCAUAUCAGAACACAACACACGGUUAUGUCCAUUCUUAAAUACUUGGAACUUUUACAUGCGAAAACCAUAUGAAAUUUACCUGUCAAAACUGUCAAGGAG
This 761-nucleotide long non-coding RNA is filed under the name Triticum aestivum (bread wheat). RNAcentral describes it as "long non-coding RNA (TAES_LNC002121)". The record is from RNAcentral. Lineage: Eukaryota; Viridiplantae; Streptophyta; Magnoliopsida; Poales; Poaceae.